AUGAACCCUUUCUACGGGCUUAACACAUGCAAGUCGAGGGGCAGCAUGGUCUUAGCUUGCUAAGGCCGAUGGCGACCGGCGCACGGGUGAGUAACGCGUAUCCAACCUGCCUUACACUCUUGGACAGCCUUCUGAAAGGGAGAUUAAUACAAGAUGUUAUCAUGAGUAAGCAUUUUCGCAUGAUUAAAGGUUUACCGGUGUAAGAUGGGGAUGCGUUCCAUUAGAUAGUAGGCGGGGUAACGGCCCACCUAGUCUUCGAUGGAUAGGGGUUCUGAGAGGAAGGUCCCCCACAUUGGAACUGAGACACGGUCCAAACUCCUACGGGAGGCAGCAGUGAGGAAUAUUGGUCAAUGGACGAGAGUCUGAACCAGCCAAGUAGCGUGAAGGAUGAAGGUUCUAUGGAUUGUAAACUUCUUUUAUACGGGAAUAAACGAAUCCACGUGUGGAUUUUUGCAUGUACCGUAUGAAUAAGGAUCGGCUAACUCCGUGCCAGCAGCCGCGGUAAUACGGAGGAUCCGAGCGUUAUCCGGAUUUAUUGGGUUUAAAGGGAGCGUAGAUGGGUUGUUAAGUCAGUUGUGAAAGUUUGCGGCUCAACCGUAAAAUUGCAAUUGAUACUGGCAGUCUUGAGUACAGUUGAGGUAGGCGGAAUUCGUGGUGUAGCGGUGAAAUGCUUAGAUAUCACGAAGAACUCCGAUUGCGAAGGCAGCUUACUAACCUGUAACUGACAUUGAUGCUCGAAAGUGUGGGUAUCAAACAGGAUUAGAUACCCUGGUAGUCCACACGGUAAACGAUGAAUACUCGCUGUAGGCGAUAUACAGUCUGCGGCCAAGCGAAAGCAUUAAGUAUUCCACCUGGGGAGUACGCCGGCAACGGUGAAACUCAAAGGAAUUGACGGGGGCCCGCACAAGCGGAGGAACAUGUGGUUUAAUUCGAUGAUACGCGAGGAGCCUUACCCGGGCUUAAAUUGCAACCGAAUAUGGCGGAAACGCUAUAGCUAGCAAUAGCGGUUGUGAAGGUGCUGCAUGGUUGUCGUCAGCUCGUGCCGUGAGGUGUCGGCUUAAGUGCCAUAACGAGCGCAACCCUUGCCGAUAGUUACUAACAGGUCAUGCUGAGGACUCUGUCGGGACUGCCAUCGUAAGAUGUGAGGAAGGUGGGGAUGACGUCAAAUCAGCACGGCCCUUACGUCCGGGGCUACACACGUGUUACAAUGGGGGGUACAGAGGGCUGCUACCACGCAAGUGGAUGCCAAUCCCAAAAACCUCUCUCAGUUCGGAUUGAAGUCUGCAACCCGACUUCAUGAAGCUGGAUUCGCUAGUAAUCGCGCAUCAGCCACGGCGCGGUGAAUACGUUCCCGGGCCUUGUACACACCGCCCGUCAAGCCAUGGGAGCCGGGGGUACCUGAAGUGCGUAACCGCAAGGAGCGCCCUAGGGUAAAACUGGUGACUGGGGCUAAGA
RNAcentral lists this ribosomal RNA (1455 nucleotides) under uncultured organism. RNAcentral describes it as "SSU rRNA". It matches the Rfam family "Bacterial small subunit ribosomal RNA". The record is from RNAcentral.